RNAcentral lists this ribosomal RNA (510 nucleotides) under uncultured bacterium. RNAcentral's name for it is "partial 16S ribosomal RNA". It matches the Rfam family "Bacterial small subunit ribosomal RNA", at positions 28 to 507 of the family's 1533-position model. The record is from RNAcentral.
GACGAACGCUGGCGGCGUGCUUAACACAUGCAAGUCGAACGAAGAGCGAUGGAUGCUUGCUUCUAUCAAUCUUAGUGGCGAACGGGUGAGUAACGCGUAAUCAACCUGCCCUUCAGAGGGGGACAACAGUUGGAAACGACUGCUAAUACCGCAUACGAUCUAAUCUCGGCAUCGAGGAUAGAUGAAAGGUGGCCUCUACAUGUAAGCUAUCACUGAAGGAGGGGAUUGCGUCUGAUGAGCUAGUUGGAGGGGUAACGGCGCACCAAGGCGAUGAUCAGUAGCCGGUCUGAGAGGAUGGACGGCCACAUUGGGACUGAGACACGGCCCAGACGCCUACGGGAGGCAGCAGUGGGGAAUCUUCCGCAAUGGACGAAAGUCUGACGGCGCAACGCCGCGUGAGUGAUGACGGCCGUCGGGUUGUAAAGCUCGGUUAAUCGGGACGAAAGGCCUUCUUGCGAAUAGUGAGAAGGAUUGACGGUACCGGAAAAGAAAGCCACGGCUAACUACGUG